RNAcentral lists this ribosomal RNA (448 nucleotides) under uncultured bacterium. RNAcentral's name for it is "bacterial SSU rRNA". It matches the Rfam family "Bacterial small subunit ribosomal RNA", at positions 355 to 825 of the family's 1533-position model. The record is from RNAcentral.
UGGGGAAUAUUGGACAAUGGGCGCAAGCCUGAUCCAGCCAUGCCGCGUGAGUGACGAAGGUCUUCGGAUUGUAAAACUCUUUUGGCGGGGACGAUAAUGACGGUACCCGCAGAAUAAGCCCCGGCUAACUUCGUGCCAGCAGCCGCGGUAAUACGAAGGGGGCUAGCGUUGUUCGGAAUCACUGGGCGUAAAGCGCACGUAGGCGGAUGUGCCAGUCAGGGGUGAAAUCCCGGAGCUCAACUCCGGAACUGCCUCUGAUACUGCACGUCUUGAGUUCGAGAGAGGUGGGUGGAAUUCCUAGUGUAGAGGUGAAAUUCGUAGAUAUCUGGAGGAACACCGGUGGCGAAGGCGGCAUCCUGGACCGGUAUUGACGCUGAGUGAGCGAAAGCCAGGGGAGCAAACGGGAUUAGAUACCCCUGUAGUCCCUGAGCGGGCUGGCAAGGCGCAU